GAGGAUAUAGCUCAAUGUAGAGUGCAUGCCUAGCAUGCCAUGCAUGAGGUCCUGGGUUCAAUUCCCAGUAUCUCCA
This 76-nucleotide transfer RNA is filed under the name Camelus bactrianus (Bactrian camel). It matches the Rfam family "tRNA". From Rfam's summary of the family: Transfer RNA (tRNA) molecules are approximately 80 nucleotides in length. Their secondary structure includes four short double-helical elements and three loops (D, anti-codon, and T loops). Further hydrogen bonds mediate the characteristic L-shaped molecular structure. tRNAs have two regions of fundamental functional importance: the anti-codon, which is responsible for specific mRNA codon recognition, and the 3' end, to which the tRNAs corresponding amino acid is attached (by aminoacyl-tRNA synthetases). tRNAs cope with the degeneracy of the genetic code in two manners: having more than one tRNA (with a specific anti-codon) for a particular amino acid; and 'wobble' base-pairing, i.e. permitting non-standard base-pairing at the 3rd anti-codon position. RNAcentral also lists the same sequence under 2 other names. The record is from Rfam by way of RNAcentral. Lineage: Eukaryota; Metazoa; Chordata; Mammalia; Artiodactyla; Camelidae.